CUAUGACAAGUAUUUGUCAUGGCGGAAGGAG
Molecule: non-coding RNA, 31 nt
Filed under: unclassified sequences
Description: L31-Firmicutes ribosomal protein leader
Rfam family: L31-Firmicutes ribosomal protein leader
Source: RNAcentral